UACGUAGGGUGCAAGCGUUAUCCGGAAUUAUUGGGCGUAAAGAGCUCGUAGGCGGUUUGUCACGUCUGCUGUGAAAACUGGAGGCUCAACCUCCAGCCUGCAGUGGGUACGGGCAGACUAGAGUGCGGUAGGGGAGAUUGGAAUUCCUGGUGUAGCGGUGGAAUGCGCAGAUAUCAGGAGGAACACCGAUGGCGAAGGCAGAUCCCUGGGCCGUAACUGACGCUGAGGAGCGAAAGCAUGGGGAGCGAACAGG
Molecule: ribosomal RNA, 253 nt
Filed under: uncultured bacterium
Lineage: Bacteria
Description: partial 16S ribosomal RNA
Rfam family: Bacterial small subunit ribosomal RNA
Source: RNAcentral